RNAcentral lists this non-coding RNA (22 nucleotides) under Arabidopsis thaliana (thale cress). Lineage: Eukaryota; Viridiplantae; Streptophyta; Magnoliopsida; Brassicales; Brassicaceae. The record is from RNAcentral.
GGGUGAGGUCGAGUGGCAGGUC